Molecule: ribosomal RNA, 404 nt
Filed under: Fusobacteriota bacterium
Lineage: Bacteria; Fusobacteriati; Fusobacteriota
Description: Fusobacteria bacterium partial 16S ribosomal RNA
Rfam family: Bacterial small subunit ribosomal RNA
Source: RNAcentral
UGGGGAAUAUUGCACAAUGGAGGGAACUCUGAUGCAGCGACGCCGCGUGAGUGAUGAAGGAAUUCGUUUCGUAAAACUCUGUUCUAUGGGAAGAAAAGGACUGUACCAUAGGAGAAAGCUCCGGCUAAAUACGUGCCAGCAGCCGCGGUAAUACGUAUGGAGCGAGCGUUGUCCGGAAUUAUUGGGCGUAAAGGGUGCGCAGGCGGCUUUACAAGUUGGAUGUGAAAUAUUGUGGCUCAACCACAAACGCGCAUCCAAAACUGCAAAGCUUGAGUUAAGGAGAGGUAAGUGGAAUUCCUGGUGUAGCGGUGGAAUGCGUAGAUAUCAGGAGGAAUACCGGUGGCGAAGGCGACUUACUGGACUUAAACUGACGCUCAGGCACGAAAGCGUGGGGAGCAAACAGG